Molecule: long non-coding RNA, 517 nt
Organism: Callithrix jacchus (white-tufted-ear marmoset)
Lineage: Eukaryota; Metazoa; Chordata; Mammalia; Primates; Cebidae
Source: RefSeq, a predicted model, not a curated record
AAAGGUACAUGUGAUGGAAGAUUAUGGAAGACAUUGAAAAAGUCGUGGACAAGAACUUUGUAUCGGUGCCCAUGCCAAGCGAUUUACAUUUAUCAUUUUAUUUAAUCUCUAAAUCAAAUUGAGGGGAUGAUCAGUCUCAUUGUUAAGUAGAAGAAACCAAGACUAAGGAAAUCUAAAUAACAAAUCUAUGAACACAUCUAUGACAUGAACAUCCUCUUUGUCUUGAAUGCUUCCUAAAAGCACCGGCCCAAACCAAGUGGCAGUAACAGUAAAGGAAACCUGGAAGGAAUGGGCACUUUCAGGGUUGUAUAGUUAGUACUUGGAGAAGCAGAGACUCAAAUCCAAACCUCUUACUCUUGACAAGUGGGAUGUACUACCUCAUCAUGGAAUCCUUGGCAAGUAUUGUUUUUAAAAUAUUUUGGGCUUUAAAAAAAAAUUGUCCAUCUUAACUGGCAGGCCAUAAAUAAAUGUUGACAUGGCAUUACUGUGUGUCUGUUCCACUCUACCAAUUUUUGGA